UACGGAGGGUGCAAGCGUUAUCCGGAUUCACUGGGUUUAAAGGGUGCGUAGGCGGGCAGGUAAGUCCGUGGUGAAAUCUCUGAGCUUAACUCAGAAACUGCCAUGGAUACUAUUUGUCUUGAAUGUUGUGGAGGUAAGCGGAAUAUGUCAUGUAGCGGUGAAAUGCUUAGAUAUGACAUAGAACACCAAUUGCGAAGGCAGCUUACUACACAAAUAUUGACGCUGAGGCACGAAAGCGUGGGUAGCAAACAGG
RNAcentral lists this ribosomal RNA (253 nucleotides) under uncultured bacterium. RNAcentral's name for it is "partial 16S ribosomal RNA". It matches the Rfam family "Bacterial small subunit ribosomal RNA", at positions 524 to 776 of the family's 1533-position model. The record is from RNAcentral.